AGAGUUUGAUCAUGGCUCAGAGCGAACGCUGGCGGCAGGCCUAAAACAUGCAAGUCGAACGGAUCCUUCGGGAUUAGUGGCGGACGGGUGAGUAACACGUGGGAACGUGCCUUUUGGUUCGGAACAACUCAGGGAAACUUGAGCUAAUACCGGAUGUGCCCUUCGGGGGAAAGAUUUAUCGCCAUUAGAGCGGCCCGCGUCUGAUUAGCUAGUUGGUGAGGUAAAGGCUCACCAAGGCGACGAUCAGUAGCUGGUCUGAGAGGAUGAUCAGCCACACUGGGACUGAGACACGGCCCAGACUCCUACGGGAGGCAGCAGUUAGGAAUCUUGCGCAAUGGGGGAAACCCUGACGCAGCCAUGCCGCGUGAAUGAUGAAGGUCUUAGGAUUGUAAAAUUCUUUCAGCGGGGACGAUAAUGACGGUACCCGCAGAAGAAGCCCCGGCUAACUUCGUGCCAGCAGCCGCGGUAAUACGAAGGGGGCUAGCGUUGCUCGGAAUUACUGGGCGUAAAGGGCGCGUAGGCGGAUGUUUAAGUCAGCGGUGAAAGCCCAGGGCUCAACCUUGGAACUGCCAUUGAUACUGGACAUCUUGAGUACGGGAGAGGUGAGUGGAACACCGAGUGUAGAGGUGAAAUUCGUAGAUAUUCGGUAGAACACCAGUGGCGAAGGCGACUCACUGGCCCGUUACUGACGCUGAGGCGCGAAAGCGUGGGGAGCAAACAGGAUUAGAUACCCUAGUAGUCC
RNAcentral lists this ribosomal RNA (742 nucleotides) under uncultured bacterium. RNAcentral describes it as "bacterial SSU rRNA". It matches the Rfam family "Bacterial small subunit ribosomal RNA", at positions 8 to 796 of the family's 1533-position model. The record is from RNAcentral.